GAAGCAGGGCGGAAGCCAGGGUGUCAGGGAUCUGUCUGGACAGCGGAUUUACAGCCAAGCCCCUAGUGCUUGUGCUAAUUCUGAACAGCUCAGUGCUAACAACUGUGGACUUUAAAAUACACACCGGCUUCAAACUGCCAUCUGCAUCUGAAUACCACACACCUGGGGCUCUGCACAACCCUCAUGCUGGCCAUCAACUUUUUAUGUGGAGUUAGGAAGAAACAAAGGAGGUGGCACUGUUCCAGCCCUGCCCAACAGCACAAGGUGUUCACAUCAGAAGCCAUAGAGAUUGGUGCAUGGACUUCAAGGAUAUCAGCUUCUGAAGUGCUGGUGACAGGCAGCAGCACCAGCCCAGCAGCAAAUGAAAGAAGAGGUUUGCUCUACGUGAAGCAAGGCAAAAGCUUUUCUGAAUCAAGUUGUCUGUAGAGAGAUUCACUCAGAGACAAAGUUCCUUGCAAGGAUGGCGUAUCCUGUCAGCCUCAAUGGAAGACGCAGAAAACGCAGUAGACUGAGAUUAUUGCUGUGUCACUCAUCUUUCACUGCCUCUAACUUUUCCUUGUGAGUCAGAGCUAAGUUGCAUGUCAUGUUGCUGCUAUCAACCCUGCUGUUCCUGCUGUUUCCCAUCUGUGUAUUCCACACAAGCAGAAACCUCUCUGUCCUUUUGGCAGCUUCAGAAAAUAAAUCAUCAAUGCAAAAG
Long non-coding RNA from Pseudopipra pipra, 697 nucleotides. RefSeq lists it as uncharacterized. NCBI's taxonomy places the organism in Eukaryota, Metazoa, Chordata, Aves, Passeriformes, Pipridae. The record is from RefSeq and is a predicted model, not a curated record. The transcript has 3 exons.